GAGAGAGAGAGAGAGAGGUUUCUGAAAAACAGAACCAAAAAAAUUCUCUUUUAUUGUUUUUAGAAACCCAAAGACAAAUAAACCAUAAUGAUACCUGAUGAGGCCAAAGGUAGCCUUAGGCUACUCAAGUUCAUUUUCAGUCUUAAAUAUUUAAGCGGGAUUAGAUUUUCUGUAAACAUAUCAGGGGUACUGUCAAUAACAUAAAACAUAUCAGGAUUACUGUUAAUGACAUUUUUCUUUCUCAGCAACAUAGCCUUGUUUCAGGAAUAUCAAAAGUUAAUGCAUAAAAACCCGAACAGAAAAUUACCUUAGAGUUGAUAGGU
RNAcentral lists this unclassified non-coding RNA (323 nucleotides) under Hevea brasiliensis (rubber tree). Lineage: Eukaryota; Viridiplantae; Streptophyta; Magnoliopsida; Malpighiales; Euphorbiaceae. The record is from RNAcentral.